CAGAGAAAAAGCGGCUUUCCAUUGCCAGCCUUCUAGUCUAGCUUUAGGCAAGAAAGUUAGACCUGCACCAGCACUUGUCGAUGAAAAACAUAUCUUGUCCUACAAAGAAGGAGGCUUCAGUGAUUUCCUUGACUUCAUUUCUGGAGAAGAUAUUGUGGAAGCAAAGUACAUAGACAAACUAAAAAUAAAUCCAUGACAGUAAUAGUCCAUGGACAGCAGAGCAGAUGAUACAAGAAUUCUCACUUUUACACUCUUCACACUUCACGUCAUACAAUCUGUUUGCACUUGUUAAAAUGCAAAGGUUAUAUUCAGUAGCCAUCUUUCGUACAUACUUUGUUCUAACAUCACUGGUGAGAGGCCCAUCUUUCUUCAAAAAAUUUUCCUUUUUUUUAUUUUUUUUGGAAAAAGAAAAAUAAGGGCUCUUAUUUCUUCAUGCUAGGAGGCGUCACUGUGAAAAAUAAAUUUGGAACAGACUUUACCUGUCAUAUUAGGGUUCCCUCAAGGCCACUUAUGAUUUGAGGAUCCAUAAUGUUUGCACCACCAGCAAAAUUAAGAUGUAUCAUCAAGAUCUUCACUAAACCCAAUGAUAUACCUCUGUUAGAAGCCAGCAACUGGAAAAAUCAAAUAAUUUCCAAAUAGGGAAAGAGUUUUAAUAUUCACAUCUAAUCUAGUUUAAGACAAAUAUAGGUCAUACCACAAGUUCAGAACUCAAGCUACAUUCAUCAGUUGGUAAAUGGCUAUACGCGCUUAUAGGAGCAUGUGCUCUCACAGAAGGUAACGUUUUGAUGGUAAAUUGAUACAGAAUGUUUAGUUAAGACCUUAAACCAAUUAGACGUGCAAAGAACAUUAUACUGAUUUACAACCACAACCAUAUACAACAAAGUGACCUUCCAACAAUAGUAUCUGUAAACAUAGCGCAGAAAUAGCCAGCACAACAACCGCUCUCAUAUUAAUAUUAUCAUUCUUUUAUUCUUUCUGGUUUUGGGUUGAGAAGUUACCAUUAUAAGCAAACAGGGAAGCAUGGCUUCAAACUCAACUUCCAUGACUCAGGUAAUGCUCAGAUAUGAUGCCCAACCCUUACUAUCAUAUAGUGUAGACCUCGCUAAUGUUCAGACAUCCAAGCUGUUGUUUCUCCAGGAUUAUCCACUUGUUUCAAACCUCCUUCAAACUAACAUGAAAUUAUUGCAAACCAAGGAAUAAAUUUUCAGGCGAAUACAUCUGAAUUUCUUUAAAUAAAUUGGCUACUGUACGUAGAUUUGAUUUCCUAUUGCACUAAAUAGCUGCAAUCAUCACCUUUGUUAGUCAGAUAACAUGGCAAACUUGCGAUGCUUUCCACCUCCUAAAAGAUUAUAUCCAUGCAUCAUCAGAAUAGGUUGUUAAUGUUUCUAUAAACAAACACCUGUAGUUUGUUUAUCUUAAUUGUUUCUAUUUACUUCCAGUUAAUUCAUUAUAUCUCUACCCUGCGGGGUAGGGGUAAGGUCUGCGUACACACUAUCCUCCCCAGACACCACUAGUGGGAUUUUACUGGGUCGUUGUUGUUGUUGUUAAUUCAUUAUCACCACAUGACAUAUAGGAUUCAGCCAUCGCUAGUCCAUAAUUCAUGUUGAUAACUAAUCAUUUCCUCCAUAGAGUGCAAGCUUAAUCUUUAGAAAUAAGCAUGAAAUAUCCUCAGAUCUCAUCACAAAACCGUCAUUUUUCCCCGAUUUUUCUCAGUAGAAAAUUUUACAUUGACAAUUGAUUUAAAAUAAUUUAGCAUGAAUUUCUGCUUUUACCCAUUCAGAUAGUCACUGAAAUCACAUUUUCCUCCCUUUUUGGUGCAAUUAGUCGACUCUUGAGUUAUAUCUAGUCAACACCAAAUUAUAAUAUCAACAAUCAUUUUUGUCCUGUUUUAUUAAUCUCCCAAAGGUGAUAAUGGAUAACCCAUUAAAGGCCAAGAACAUCAGAUUAUUCAAGGAGCAAGAUGCGUUAUUCAUAUUUCAAGAGAUUAAUCAUUCAUUUCCUCAGGGAAAAAAAGGUAUUCAUUUUCCUCCUUGAUCUUACUCAGGAUUUCUAAUUUCUUCAGCUGUUGACGCCAAUUUUUAGAAAUUCACAUUUUAGUGCAAUUUUAACUAUUUAAAAAUUAUUAAGUCGAACUCUUCUCGCUAAUUCAGUAUUAUCGUAGUUACACAAACAAAAAUCAGCUAUUCGAAGUUGCUAAAACGACUGCUCGAUUUCUUCUCGAUAUGAUGGUUAAAUCGUACGUUUGAUUUGCAUUUAAUCUCAAGAUAUACGAAUAGCAACAAAUAAAAUUGCAGAUAUACAUGAAUCUCACUAUAAUUAGUAAAGAAUUUAAUACACAAAAAAUUAUUAAAAUUAUAGAAAAUUUCAACUGAAUUCGUAGCACAAAAAAAACGCGGGAAAAACACUUACGAAGGGCAGUGAAAAUUGAUUCGAAAAAUUAGCCGUAACUCUCUGCCUUUUCAUACGUCUCUGAUCUUCUCUGUCCCUAUCGCUAAGCCUCUCCUCCAUUUUUACUUUUUCCUGAUUUUCAAUUUUCAACGAAGGGGGCUUGGAAAAUCGAAGAGAGGUGGAUUAAUUUCCUACUCCGCGGGUUUACCGUAUGGCUUUUUCACUUCGGCCAUUAGUUAGCCACGUGUCUAUUCAGUCGGCUCACAUUCUUAUAGGAUUUUGAGCAGUUUUUGAGUGUUUGCGAAGAUCAAAUUGUAUUUUUUUAUUUCGAAAACUUAAUUUCAACUAAACACUGCCUAAUAAACACUUCUAGAAACAUUUCAAAAAGAAAAAAACCACAUCUCACAGAAUAUUUUAUAUCAAAUAAAUUACUUAUUAAAGCGUCGAACUCAUUCUGAUCCCACUUUAUACAUCAAAAUUUCAUAGAACACUAUAUUCGUAUCUCAUUAACUAUGAAAUUAAAAGGGAAAAAAAUGUUUUAAGAAAUUACAUCAUUUCUAAUAAUGAUAAAAAGAUUAUAGGAAAGUAGAAGUGAACCCAAAAUUUAAAAGUGACGAGCACUACUAUCAAAUAAAAAUUCGAAGAUAAAUCAACCAAUACAUCUAUAUAGGUGUUGAGUUUACAAUGUCAAUCAAAAUAUAUAUAUGGCAUUUAAUAAUACAUAUAUAUAUAUAUAUACGAAAUUACCGUGGGAGCAAUGACCCUCUACCAAAGAAUAGAUCCGGCCUCCGUAAACAGAAGUUUCUAAAAAAUCAUUAAAAUUAGGUGUAUGCUAGACAAUACUCCUCACGAUCACAGGACUUAGUUUGAUUUUCAGCGCAAAGAAGUUCUUAAAACCAUUAACAAUGUUUUUUUAACAAUAAAACAAAAAUAUUUGGAAACUUCACUGAGUAUAUAUGCAAGUUCGUCAUAAUUUUAAAAUUAAUUUAUUUUAAAAAAUAUUUUUCAAAAAUAUAUUUUAGGUGAGAAACUGUUUGUGUUUGAUUAAUUAAUUUAAAAAUAAUUAAUUUGAAGCAGGAAAUAAUAUUUUACCAUUAUUUUUAAAUAUAUUUUUCUUAAAAAUAAUUUUCGAAAAAAUAUUUUUUGGGAAGAAGUUACUUUUAUUUGUGCUUCUCAAAAAUUGAUUCAGCUAUUACUCAAAGUAUUUUCUUUUUCAGUUUUAAAAAUUAGACCAAAUAACUUAACUUUAGGAAAAAUAUAUUUUUGGCCAAAAUUAAAUACUUUUGGCAGGAAAAAAAAAAAACA
Molecule: long non-coding RNA, 3693 nt
Filed under: Nicotiana benthamiana
Lineage: Eukaryota; Viridiplantae; Streptophyta; Magnoliopsida; Solanales; Solanaceae
Description: long non-coding RNA (NBEN_LNC036292)
Source: RNAcentral